Molecule: ribosomal RNA, 478 nt
Filed under: uncultured bacterium
Lineage: Bacteria
Description: partial 16S ribosomal RNA
Rfam family: Bacterial small subunit ribosomal RNA
Source: RNAcentral
GACGAACGCUGGCGGCGUGCUUAACACAUGCAAGUCGAACGGUAAGGCCCUUCGGGGUACACGAGUGGCGAACGGGUGAGUAACACGUGGGUGAUCUGCCCUGCACUUCGGGAUAAUCCUGGGAAACUGGGUCUAAUACCGGAUAGGACCAUGGGAUGCAUGUCCUGGGAUGGAAAGCUUUUGCGGUGUGGGAUGGGCCCGCGGCCUCUCAGCUGGUCGGUGGGGAUAUGGCCUACCACGGCGACGCCGGGUAGCCGGCCUGAGAGGGUGACCGGACACACUGGGACUGAGUUACGGCCCAUACUCAUACGGGAGGCAGGAGUGGGGAAUAUUGCACAAUGGGCGCAAGCCUGAUGCAGCGACGCCGCGUGAGGGAUGACGGCCUUCGGGUUGUAAACCUCUUUCAGCACCGACGAAGCGCAAGUGACGGUAGGUGCAGAAGAAGGACCGGCCAACUACGUGCCAGCCGCCGCUGUAA